This 497-nucleotide ribosomal RNA is filed under the name uncultured bacterium. RNAcentral's name for it is "partial 16S ribosomal RNA". It matches the Rfam family "Bacterial small subunit ribosomal RNA", at positions 28 to 507 of the family's 1533-position model. The record is from RNAcentral.
GAUGAACGCUGGCGGCGUGCCUAAUACAUGCAAGUCGAGCGAACGGACGAGAAGCUUGCUUCUCUGAUGUUAGCGGCGGACGGGUGAGUAACCCGUGGAUAACCUACCUAUAAGACUGGGAUAACUUCGGGAAACCGGAGCUAAUACCGGAUAAUAUUUUGAACCGCAUGGUUCAACAGUGAAAGACGGUCUUGCUGUCACUUAUAGAUGGAUCCGCGCUGCAUUAGCUAGUUGGUAAGGUAACGGCUUACCAAGGCAACGAUGCAUAGCCGACCUGAGAGGAUGAUCGGCCACACUGGAACUGAGACACGGUCCAGACUCCUACGGGAGGCAGCAGUAGGGAAUCUUCCGCAAUGGGCGAAAGCCUGACGGAGCAACGCCGCGUGAGUGAUGAAGGUCUUCGGAUCGUAAAACUCUGUUAUUAGGGAAGAACAUAUGUGUAAGUAACUGUGCACAUCUUGACGGUACCUAAUCAGAAAGCCACGGCUAACUACGUG